CUAAAUACUACCCAGUGACCGAUAGCGUAUAGUACUGUGAAGGAAAGGUGAAAAGCACCCCGGGAGGGGAGUGAAAUAGAACCUGAAACCCUGUGCCUACAAGCACCUAGAGCACGUCAAUGUGUGAUAGGGUACUUUUUGUAGAACGGUCCGGCGAGCGAUUGUAUGCAGCAAGGUUAAGGACUUAAGGUCUGGAGCCGAAGCGAAAGCGAGUUUGAAAAGGGCGUUAAGUUGCAUACAAUGGGCCCGAAACCGGGUGACCUACCCAUGGUCAGGUUGAAGUGGAAGUAAAAUUCCAUGGAGGACCGAACCGACCUCCGUUGAAAAGGCGGCGGAUGAACUGUGGGUAGCGGAGAAAUUCCAAUCGAACCCGGAGAUAGCUGGUUCUCCCCGAAAUAGUUUUAGGACUAGCCUCAAGUUAGAUACCUGGAGGUAAAGCACUGAAUAGCCUAGCGGCCGAGAGGUUAGCGAAGCUUAUCAAACUCAGAAUGCCAGAGUAUUGAUGCUUGGGAGUCAGACAGUGUCAGAUAAAUGUCAUUGUCAAAAGGGAAACAGCCCAGAUCUACAGCUAAGGUCCCAAAGUCAGGUUAAGUGGAAAACGAUGUGAAGAUACGUAGACAACCAGGAUGUUGGCUCAGAAGCAGCCACACAUUCAAAGAGUGCGUAAUAGCUCACUGGUCGAGCGUCUUUGCGCGGAGAAUUUAACGGGGCUAAACCUGACACCGAAGCUUAGGCAAUACAGCAAUGUAUUGGGUAGGGGAGCGUUGUAUACGCGGUGAAACAGUAGCGCAAGCGGCUGUGGAGUGUAUAGAAGUGAGAAUGCCGGAAUGAGUAGCGCGAAUGCAGUGAGAAUCUGCAUGGCCGAAAGCCUCAGGUUUCUGGAGGAAGGUUCGUCCGCUCCAGGUUAGUCGGGAGCUAAGGUGAGGCCUAACGGCGUAGCCGAUGCACAGACGGUAGAGAUUCCGUCACCACCAAAAGAGUUAAGCACAGGGACACAUUUGAAGUCUCAGAGCCGGGUGUUGGUUCCGGUAGAGAUCGAGGGAAAUUAGUACCGAAGUCUGAGAUGGAAGAUGGCGAGAAAAGCUGUGUGUAUUUCUGAGGUGCCCGUACCGCAAACCGACACAGGUAGGUAGGAAGAAGAUUCUAAGGCCAACGGGAGAAGGGUUGUUAAGGAACUCGGCAAAUUGACCCCGUAACUUCGGGAGAAGGGGUGCUCCAGAGAUGGAGCCGCAGAGAAUCGGCCCAAGCAACUGUUUACCAAAAACACAGGUUUGUGCUAAAUCGAAAGAUGACGUAUACGAGCUGACGCCUGCCCGGUGCUGGAAGGUUAAGAGGAGAUGUGCAAGCAUUGAAUCGAAGCCCCAGUGAACGGCGGCCGUAACUAUAACGGUCCUAAGGUAGCGAAAUUCCUUGUCAGGUAAGUUCUGACCCGCAUGAAAGGCGUAAUGAUUUGGGCACUGUCUCAACAGCCCGCCCGGCGAAAUUGUAGUACCGGUGAAGAUGCCGGUUACCCGCGACAAGACGGAAAGACCCCAUGGAGCUUUACUGUAGCCUAAUAUUGGGUUUCGAUGUUGCAUGCACAGGAUAGAUGGGACACUGGGAAGUGAUCGCUUUGGCGGUCAUGGAGUGGCCGUUGGGAUACCAUCCUUGCGAUAUUGGAAUUCUAACCUGCGCCUUUGAAUCAAGGCGGGGGACAUUGUUAGGUGGGCAGUUUGACUGGGGCGGUCGCCUCCUAAAGAGUAACGGAGGCGUUCAAAGGUUCGCUCAGCUUGAACGGAAAUCAAGCAAAAGAGUGCAAACGCAGAAGCGAGCCUAACUGCGAGACUGACGGGUCGAGCAGUAACGAAAGUUGGAGUUAGUGAUCCGGUGGUAUGUGAGUGGAAAUGCCAUCGCUCAACGGAUAAAA
RNAcentral lists this ribosomal RNA (1906 nucleotides) under human gut metagenome. RNAcentral's name for it is "bacterial LSU rRNA". It matches the Rfam family "Bacterial large subunit ribosomal RNA", at positions 466 to 2461 of the family's 2925-position model. The record is from RNAcentral.